AUUCCUAACUUGGACAUAUAAAUAGGAUGCUACCUCUUGGGGUUAUUUAUUUCCGAGGCAAUCAAUGGGAAAGUGCUAGGAAAUAUAUUCAGCGUGAUUUCAAACCUGAUGCCAGUCAAGGUUUCAGGCAGCAAACUGGCAGAGAAGGACAUAUGAGGAACAUGUCUUCAUGCAGAUGGCAGCCCAGCUUUGGCCCCACUGUAUCCACACCGUGGGCACACAUACUUGGCAAUAUUUGAUGAUGAGAUCACAAGAUAGAAAUAUGUUGAUUCUUAGAAAAGAAAUUUGGAUGCCAGUUGGUCCAUGUGAAUUUCAGUGAAUUACAUGGUUUGGACUACACUACUUGACCUUCAGUAAGUGAAGGCAAACAGACAUCAUUCCAAAGUCACCCUCAGUAGAAAUGAGGUGUCUCACUGUGGAUCAGAGACACCUCCAAACACACUCUGCCUGAUUUCCCUCUCCAGCCGGUUCUGGUUUGGCCUACUUUCCCAGCCCCAGUCGACACAGCUCCUGUGGCUAUAGCCUGAGAAAGGAAGUGACCCUCUGCGAUGAGAGGGGUUCCCUGGUGACAUCCAGCCAGCUGGCCACACUGGGGGCCCAUCUGGGGCCCACACAUGUAGGCCAAGAGAAUGUGCCAAGAUCAACAAUGAUAAGAUCUUUGCACAGAAUUCCUUCAUCCUGAGGGGCAAUGAGGCUGGAACGAGAGACAAAUCUGAACCCAGCUCUGGCUUCAAACAUCCUUGGCCAAUGGAACCAAACUACAUUCAGAGAAUAGUCUAGUUCCAGGGACAGAAGAAGAGAAAAAAAGAAGAGCCAGGCCAAGGUCAUGGCUGAAAAACUUUGGGUACUUUUGCAACUCAGACUGAAGCAGCUCUAGCAGCUAAAAGGUCAAAGCAUCCUAUAGAUAAGUUCCAAGUGGCUUUGAUGCUGGAAAGCGUCUCCUGCCAGAAAGAGCUCCACUGGGAUCUGUUGAGCGACAGCUUUUAUCUAUUUAGCCCCACAUAUUCCUGGACUUGAUUCUUAUUCUCUUCUGAUUGGCCUUGAUGCCAUGCUCACUGAAAUUAGCAAAAGCAACUCUGAAGGGAAAGAAGAAAACCAACUUGUGUUUGGCAGGUGAUAAGAUACCUGCCCUAAUUGGAUCCAGGGCUCUGGACCCGAUGUUGCCUGAUCUUCCCACAUGGCCAUGCAACUGGGGAGGAGAAAUUCCCAUCCAAUGACCACGGAGGGGGCUCCCUGGUCUCCCAUGGAAGAGACAGCGAUGGCUGACUAUCAUGACCUCGGUGGGGGGUGGGGUGGCUCUCCACCUGCAUCUCUAAAGGUCUUCUUCCUGAUGGACUUCAAGAUACACACAACUGGAGUUCCCAUUGUGGCUCAGCAGUUUAAGAACCUGAUAUGGUCUCUGUGGUGAUAUGGGUUUGAUCCCUGGCCUUAUUCAGUGGGUUAAGGAUCUGGCAUUGCCAUGAGCUGUGGUGUAGGUUGCAGAUGAGGCUUGGAUCCCCCGUGGCUGUGGCUGUGGUGUAGAGUGGCAGCUGAAGCACUGUUUGACCCCUAGCCUGGGAACUUCCAUAUGCCACAGUUGCGGCCCUAGGAAGGAAGGAAGGUGGCGGGGGAAGGAAGGAAGGGUGGAAAGAUUGUCCUGCCUUUGGAAGGGGAAAUAUUUGAUGGGGCCGGAAAUGUGGGAAAAGAUUUCUGUUUGUUUAGUGAGAGGAACUGUGCUUUUUGAUGUCUGUUUUCACAGAGGGCGGGAUAAUGGGUCCUCUGGCCAGAGGACCACCCUGGCUACCCGUUGACUGACACUCCUCAGUCAGGUUCAUGGUCACGGGGACCCUCCAUAACUUGACUGCUAGCUAACUGGUCUGUUCUCACUUUCAUAUUCUCAAUCUCUGCACUGGGGACAUACCAUUUGUUAGAUGUCAGACUCUCUGUGUGCAUUAAAAAAAAAAAAAAAAAAAA
This 1953-nucleotide long non-coding RNA is filed under the name Sus scrofa (pig). RNAcentral's name for it is "lncRNA (ENSSSCG00040025511.1)". The record is from RNAcentral. Lineage: Eukaryota; Metazoa; Chordata; Mammalia; Artiodactyla; Suidae.